AAACGAAUAGUGGGGAUAUUAUAUGCUACUAAUUUCAUUAACUUUGGACUAGUAGUUAUAAUAGGACAAUUUAUUUGAUUGUGAUUAAAUAAAUAAAAUUGAUGAGACCUUAAAAUCCCUCAACCAAACAUAUAUUAAGUUGAAAGCGUAAGAGUGCUUAGAACACUUUUUCGUGGCCUUCCACCGUGGUAGGCUCCAAG
RNAcentral lists this long non-coding RNA (200 nucleotides) under Malus domestica (apple). RNAcentral describes it as "long non-coding RNA (MDOM_LNC019154)". Lineage: Eukaryota; Viridiplantae; Streptophyta; Magnoliopsida; Rosales; Rosaceae. The record is from RNAcentral.